CUUUCCACACGUGGAAAGGUUUAUCCCUGUACAAAAGAAGUUUACAACCCAUAGGGCCGUCGUCCUUCACGCGGGAUGGCUGGAUCAGGCUCUCACCCAUUGUCCAAUAUUCCUCACUGCUGCCUCCCGUAGGAGUCUGGUCCGUGUCUCAGUACCAGAUGUGGGGGAUCACCCUCUCAGGCCCCCUAAAGAUCACUGACUUGGUAGGCCGUUACCCUACCAAACUAUCUAAUCUGUGCGCGUGCCCAUCUCUAUCCACCGGAGUUUUCAAUUUUAAAUGAUGCCAUUCAAAAUAUUAUGGGGUAUUAAUCUUCCUUUCGAAAGGCUAUCCCCCACAUAAAGGUAGGUUGCACACGUGUUCCGCACCCGUGCGCCGCUCUCUUCGUUUUUCCGAAGAAA
RNAcentral lists this ribosomal RNA (399 nucleotides) under Candidatus Chryseobacterium massiliense. Its description in RNAcentral is "Candidatus Chryseobacterium massiliae partial 16S ribosomal RNA". Lineage: Bacteria; Pseudomonadati; Bacteroidota; Flavobacteriia; Flavobacteriales; Weeksellaceae. The record is from RNAcentral.